This is a long non-coding RNA of Anolis carolinensis (green anole), 3379 nucleotides long. RefSeq lists it as uncharacterized. Lineage: Eukaryota; Metazoa; Chordata; Lepidosauria; Squamata; Anolidae. The record is from RefSeq and is a predicted model, not a curated record. The transcript has 2 exons.
UGUGCGGCAAUCUCAAGCCAAUGUUCAAACUCCGACAUUUGUAAGGCUGACUCAGCAGGUUGUCAACGCCGUCGCCAAGCAACCGGCGAAGAACGAUUCCCAAAGUUUUCUGCUGUGUCAUUAUCCCACUUGGCCGGUUUUCGGGGACAGAAAAACAAUGGGAUGAGGGCCAUUCAUUCCGAGAGCUUCAUGCUGGGUGGCCUUUUUCUGCCGCCGCGUGGGUCCAAAGCGAUUGCCGAUCUGGCCCUGGGUAGUAAUGCGCGUAAAUUAUAGCCUGCUGCACUUUGUGCAAAUGUCAAUCCCGAAUCAUGUCAACUUCAUGCCGAUCGAGGCGGGGGUGGCGGAACGUUAAAACAAUGGGGGCCGUGCCAUAAGCGCCCAUUGUAAUUUCAGCACAAAGCGCUUCUCCGAAUCUAAGGCACUUUGGAACACAUUCAUUCAUUUCGGUCUGAAUAGCGCACCGCCUCUUUAAUUUGACUUAAAAGGGUUUGAUAAGCCGCCCUUUCCCCUCAAAGCAAAGCAGGGAGAAAAAACGAGAAAAACAAGAAGUGGAAACUGAUAUUUCUAAGCUAUGCAACGGAAUUUAGGAAGCUCGGAAAAGCUCACCCAAGAAUGUCCCGAAGAAACCUAAGGCGAGGAAGCUGGAGAUGACAAAGAGGGAGCCCACGGCCACGAAGGCCAUGCCGACGUAGUAGCCAAGGAGACCAUCCAGAACCUCCAGCUUGGGCUGGCUCUUCAUGGCUUCUGUGAAACUGCGGAGGAAAGGGAAGACGGAAGGAAUUCAGAAUUCAAAAAGUGUGGCGGAGUGGUAGUGGCAGUGAACCCGCUGGGUGACUUCAGGCAUGUCACACUCUCUCAGCCCUGAGCCUGAAACAACUUGAAGGCACGCAACAGGAACAAACUGUUGUCUGUCCCACCAACAGUCUGGGAAGGUCCCUGUAUUUAAAAAGUGUGAGGACCGGAUAUAAUGCCUUAUAUGGAGCCCCGGUGGCACAGUGUGCUAAAGCGCUGACCUGCUGAACUUGCAGACCGAAAGGUCACAGGUUCGAAUCCGGGAAGCGGAGUGAGCGCCCGCUGUCAGCUCCAGCUUCCGCCAACCUAGCAGUUUGAAAAUGUAUUUAUUUAUUUACAGUAUUUAUAUUCUGCCUUUCUUUCUCACCCCUUAGGGGACUCAGGGCGGAUUACAAUGAACAUAUGUGGCAAACAUUCAAUGCCAUCAGACAAACAACAUACAGACACACACAGAGGAAUUUAACAUUUCCAGCUUCACGAUUCCGGCCACAGGGGGAGCUGUUGCUUCACCCUCCACUAGUGACUGUACUUCCUCAUUCCUUUCUGGCAUGUUGCUGGCGGAUCUGAUUUAUAUAUUGUAAUUUUAUAUUGUAUUUAAUAGUUUAAAGCACUGAGCUGGAGACCGAAAGGUCCCAGGUUCAAAUCCCGGGAGCGGCGUGAGCGGCCACUGUUAGCUCCAGCUCCUGCCAACCUAGCAGUUCGAAAACAUGCCAAUGUGAGUAGAUCAAUAGGUACCGCUCCGGCGGGAAGGUAACGGCGCUCCAGGCAGUUAUGCCAGUGGCCACAUGACCUUGGAGGUGUCUACGGACAACGCCGGCUCUUCGGCUUAGAAAUGGAGAUGAGCACCAACCCCCAGAGUCAGACACGACUGGACUUAACGUCAGGGGAAACCUUUACUUUACCUUUAUUUAAUAGUUUUAAUGGAUUUUAUGUAUUGUUUGAUAUUGUUUUUGUAUGGGCAUCAAAUUGUUGCCAUUGUUGUAAGUCGCCCCGAGUCCCUUCAGGUGAGAAGGGCGGGAUAUAAAUGUUGGAAUUAAAUAAUUUUAUGGUGGUGUAAAUUAGUUAAAUUAGCCUCCCGCAUAAAGCGUACCUAAAUUUUCUACUUGACAGAUGCAACUGUCUUUCGGGCUGCAUAGGUCAACAGCAAGCUGGGUUAUUUAAUGGUCGGGUGCUAACCCGAUCCGGGCUUCGAACUCAUGACCUCUCGGUCAGUAGUGAUUUAUUGCAGCUGGUUACUAGCCAGCUGCACCACAUCCUGCCACAAACAUGCAAAUGUGAGUAGAUCAAUAGGUACCGCUCUGGCGGGAAGGUAACGGCGCUCCAUGCCGUCAUGCCGGUCACAUGACCUUGGAGGUGUCUAUGGACAAUGCCGGCUCUUCAGCUUAGAAAUGGAGAUGGGCACCAACCCCCAGAGUCGUGCACGACUGGACUUACCUUUUCCAUUGACCUAUGGCAGUGUAGAUGUGAUGUUAGGGUGCCUCUGCACUGUAGAAUGAAUGCAGUUUGACAACACUUGGACCAUUAUGGCUCAAUGUUAUGAAGCCAUAAGAGUUGUAAUUUUAUAAAACUUUCAAAGCGUACAAACUACAACUUCCAGGAUUCCACCGCACCGAGCCGUGGCAGUUCAAAUGGUGUCAAACUGCACUAAUUUAACAGUGCAGAUGCACCCAUGGUUGAUUAAAUGGAGAUCUGAAAUGAGUUUGCAACUUUGCUGUUGGCACCUUCUCGCUCACUCUUAUUUUCUUUGCGCCUCGACACUUGUGCAAAUAAGGCAUUCAAUCCCUUUGCCGCCCGAAUUUCAGUUACUCGGAAGAAUAAAAUUGUUUGCUGAUGGUAAUGGACCAUGGAAAUGGGCCUUUUUCUCCCUGGAGAGAGUGGCAACGCUUAUGUUGCAGACACCAUAGUUUCCAACAUAGCAUUUCUAUUUGUAUAAUGCACGAACUCAAGUCACCUUUGCUAGCGUUUGCAGCUCUGGGACAUAACAAAGAGGAUUGAUUUCUUUGGAUGACAUAACUCCAAUAUCUGUAUUUUUUUUAAAAAAAAGGUUCGCCAUCAUUUAUCACACCCAUCAACACCCAUCUUGUCUUGUUCCAAGUAUUUUCUAUUUACAGUAAAUUGGGUCCUUUGGAUGGAUUUUAGGAAUUGCAAAGAGUUUUGCAACAGGCUAAAGAAACUCAAGGCCACACAUUCAGUUGCAUGUCCUUUAUUUCUAACACAAAAGUAAUAUCUGUGACACAAAGCACUGUGCCCGGAUAAAAUUCAGGAUAGCAAUGUGUUGUAUGCAUUGGGUGGCCCUUGAAGACUGUACAGGAAUUCGAAUAGAAAUGGCCGGGAUGCAUCUACAACGCAGAAUUAAAGACUAUAUUUUGUAUUUUAUUUUAUUUUUACCUACUUUAUGUUUUAAUGGGCUUUUAUGCUUAAUGUAAUGUAUUGUUUGCAUAAUGUGAUUUUACUGUGUUUUAUUCUUUGUAAUAUGUUUUAAUUGUUGUACUUGUUUACUGUUUUCGGGCCGUUGUCCCGUGUUAGCCGCCCCGAGUGCCUGCAGGGAGAUGGUGGCGGGGUAGAAAAAUAAAGGUACUUACUGUAA